This 310-nucleotide unclassified non-coding RNA is filed under the name Hevea brasiliensis (rubber tree). The record is from RNAcentral. Lineage: Eukaryota; Viridiplantae; Streptophyta; Magnoliopsida; Malpighiales; Euphorbiaceae.
AUGGAUCCGGAAAUUUUGUUCUUAUGAAGGCAAAGAUAGGAUAGCUUGCUUAAGUUUGCAAUACCUAGAGGGAUUGAGCCUGUGAAACUAUUUAUUGAGAAAUCAAUAAGCCGAAGUGAUCUAAGCAUGCCUAGUUCUUCUGGGAUGCAACCACAAAAAUUGUUGGCGCAAAGCCAAAUGUUCCGUAAGUCGAUCGAGUUUCUGAUUUCAAACGGAACAUUUCCAGAAAGAGAAUUGAAGGAUAAGUAGAGGAAAGCGAGUUUAGAAAGGUUACCAACGUGUGGAGGGAUGGAACCAUAGAGGGAGUUGU